UGCAAGUCGAGCGGACAGAUGGGAGCUUGCUCCCUGAUGUUAGCGGCGGACGGGUGAGUAACACGUGGGUAACCUGCCUGUAAGACUGGGAUAACUCCGGGAAACCGGGGCUAAUACCGGAUGCUUGUUUGAACCGCAUGGUUCAAACAUAAAAGGUGGCUUCGGCUACCACUUACAGAUGGACCCGCGGCGCAUUAGCUAGUUGGUGAGGUAAUGGCUCACCAAGGCGACGAUGCGUAGCCGACCUGAGAGGGUGAUCGGCCACACUGGGACUGAGACACGGCCCAGACUCCUACGGGAGGCAGCAGUAGGGAAUCUUCCGCAAUGGACGAAAGUCUGACGGAGCAACGCCGCGUGAGUGAUGAAGGUUUUCGGAUCGUAAAGCUCUGUUGUUAGGGAAGAACAAGUACCGUUCGAAUAGGGCGGUACCUUGACGGUACCUAACCAGAAAGCCACGGCUAACUACGUGCCAGCAGCCGCGGUAAUACGUAGGUGGCAAGCGUUGUCCGGAAUUAUUGGGCGUAAAGGGCUCGCAGGCGGUUUCUUAAGUCUGAUGUGAAAGCCCCCGGCUCAACCGGGGAGGGUCAUUGGAAACUGGGGAACUUGAGUGCAGAAGAGGAGAGUGGAAUUCCACGUGUAGCGGUGAAAUGCGUAGAGAUGUGGAGGAACACCAGUGGCGAAGGCGACUCUCUGGUCUGUAACUGACGCUGAGGAGCGAAAGCGUGGGGAGCGAACAGGAUUAGAUACCCUGGUAGUCCACGCCGUAAACGAUGAGUGC
RNAcentral lists this ribosomal RNA (778 nucleotides) under Bacillus sp. (in: firmicutes). RNAcentral describes it as "bacterial SSU rRNA". It matches the Rfam family "Bacterial small subunit ribosomal RNA", at positions 56 to 816 of the family's 1533-position model. The record is from RNAcentral. Lineage: Bacteria; Bacillati; Bacillota; Bacilli; Caryophanales; Bacillaceae.